CCAGACAACCAGGAGGUUGGCUUAGAAGCAGCCACCCUUUAAAGAGUGCGUAAUAGCUCACUGGUCAAGUGGUCCUGCGCCGACAAUGUAGCGGGGCUCAAGCGCACCGCCGAAGCCGUGGCAACAUCAUUUGAGAUCCGCUUACAUCUUUUGGGGUGUGGGUGUAGUCGUGGUGUUGGGUAGGGGAGCGUCGUGCAUCCGGUGAAGCUUCGGGGUGACCCAGGGGUGGAGGGUGUGCGAGUGAGAAUGCAGGCAUGAGUAGCGAAUGCAGAGUGAGAACCUCUGCCGCCGAAUGACCAAGGGUUCCUGGGCCAGGUUAAUCCGCCCAGGGUGAGCCGGGACCUAAGGCGAGGCCGACAGGCGUAGUCGAUGGACAACGGGUUGAUAUUCCCGUGCCCGUGAUAGUGCGCCCGUGCUGGGGCCGGUGAUGCUAACCAUCCGAACCCGCCUGUGAUCCCUUCGGGGUGAUCGGGGUCGGGGGAGCGUGGGAUCCGAUCCGGUAGUAGGCAAGCGAUGGGGUGACGCAGGAGGGUAGUCCCGCCAGGCGGUGGUAGUCCUGGUGUAAGCCUGUAGCCCGACAUCCAGGUAAAUCCGGGUGUCGUGAAGGGUGAGAGGUGACGCGUAGCCGAUUGAGGCGAAGUAGGAUGAUCCCAUGCUGUCGAGAAAAGCCUCUAGCGAGUGCUGUUGCGGCCCGUACCCUAAACCGACACAGGUGGUCAGGUAGAGAAUACUAAGGCGAUCGAGUGAACUGUGGUUAAGGAACUCGGCAAAAUGCCCCCGUAACUUCGGGAGAAGGGGGGCCGGUUGCUCUGAAGCUCUUCGCGAGCUAGGGGUGGCCGGCCGCAGAGACCAGGCCCAAGCGACUGUUUACUAAAAACACAGGUCCGUGCGAAGUCGCAAGACGAUGUAUACGGACUGACGCCUGCCCGGUGCUGGAACGUUAAGAGGACCUGUUAGUCCCUUUGGGGGCGAAGCGGAGAAUUUAAGCGCCAGUAAACGGCGGUGGUAACUAUAACCAUCCUAAGGUAGCGAAAUUCCUUGUCGGGUAAGUUCCGACCUGCACGAAUGGCGUAACGACUUGGGCGCUGUCUCGACCACAGACUCGGCGAAAUUGCACUACGAGUAAAGAUGCUCGUUACGCGCGGCAGGACGGAAAGACCCCGGGACCUUUACUAUAGCUUGGUAUUGGUGCUCGGUUCGGCUUGUGUAGGAUAGGUGGGAGACUGUGAAGUGGCCACGCUAGUGGUUGUGGAGUCAUUGUUGAAAUACCACUCUGGUCGAAUUGGGUGUCUCAACCUCGGGCCAUGAUCUGGUUCAGGGACAGUGCCUGGUGGGUAGUUUAACUGGGGCGGUUGCCUCCCAAAAUGUAACGGAGGCGCCCAAAGGUUCCCUCAGCCUGGUUGGCAAUCAGGUGUUGAGUGUAAGUGCACAAGGGAGCUUGACUGUGAGACUGACAGGUCGAGCAGGGACGAAAGUCGGGACUAGUGAUCCGGCACCACCUUGUGGAAGGGGUGUCGCUCAACGGAUAAAAGGUACCCCGGGGAUAACAGGCUGAUCUUGCCCAAGAGUCCAUAUCGACGGCAUGGUUUGGCACCUCGAUGUCGGCUCGUCGCAUCCUGGGGCUGGAGUAGGUCCCAAGGGUUGGGCUGUUCGCCCAUUAAAGCGGUACGCGAGCUGGGUUUAGAACGUCGUGAGACAGUUCGGUCCCUAUCCGCCGCGCGCGCAGGAGACUUGAGGAAGGCUGUCCCUAGUACGAGAGGACCGGGACGGACGAACCUCUGGUGUGCCAGUUGUCCCGCCAGGGGCAUGGCUGGUUGGCUAUGUUCGGAAGGGAUAACCGCUGAAGGCAUCUAAGCGGGAAGCCUGUUCCAAGAUGAGGUCUCCCACCACCUUGCGUGGUUAAGGCCCCCAGCAGACCACUGGGUUGAUAGGCCAGAGAUGGAAGCCCUGUGAGGGGUGGAGUUGACUGGUACUAAUAGGCCGAGGGCUUGUUCAUG
This 1997-nucleotide ribosomal RNA is filed under the name Pseudonocardia sp. MH-G8. Its description in RNAcentral is "bacterial LSU rRNA". It matches the Rfam family "Bacterial large subunit ribosomal RNA", at positions 1085 to 2925 of the family's 2925-position model. Lineage: Bacteria; Bacillati; Actinomycetota; Actinomycetes; Pseudonocardiales; Pseudonocardiaceae. The record is from RNAcentral.